Molecule: long non-coding RNA, 581 nt
Filed under: Vigna radiata
Lineage: Eukaryota; Viridiplantae; Streptophyta; Magnoliopsida; Fabales; Fabaceae
Description: long non-coding RNA (VRAD_LNC009315)
Source: RNAcentral
ACAUAGCAACAAUCAUGAAUCAUAAAUAAUUACCUUUUAUUUUUUAAUUUUAAAUUAAAUUAUAAAAUUAUUAAAAUAGCCUUGGAUUUAAACUCUGUUUUUUAAUAAGAAAUUUUUUGUAACCUAAAAUUGAGUGUUGCUUCCUCCACCACCUCCAUUCCCCUCCACCUUCUCAAUUCUCUAUAAUUUUUUUUAAUUACAAAAGUAGUUUUUUUUACCUUUAACCCUAUUUAUUUACUUUAUUCUGAAAUCCUAAAUUCCUACUUAUUUUUACUCACCCAUUUUUACUUGUGCAGCCUCAUCCCCCAUUGUCCUAAGUCCCACUUUCUCUCUUUCCAGAUUUUCACCCCCUCUAACUCUCACCAGAUCCAUUUCUUCUCAUCUCCCAAUUCUUAUUUCUCUUCUCCAUAUCUAUUUGGUUCUUCUCCAUCUCCAUAUCCGUUUGGUUUCGUGGUGCCGUGGUGUGACUUUUCAUGGUGUGGCGGUGCGGGAUGUUUGCGAUGGUCAUUUGGUGUGCAACGGUUCCAAACAAUAAUGAAUGUUUUAUAACUAACAAUAAUUAAUAUUUUAUGACUAACAUC